Molecule: ribosomal RNA, 378 nt
Filed under: uncultured eukaryote
Lineage: Eukaryota
Description: partial 18S ribosomal RNA
Rfam family: Eukaryotic small subunit ribosomal RNA
Source: RNAcentral
CAAUAGCGUAUAUUUAAGUUGUUGCAGUUAAAAAGCUCGUAGUUGGAUUUCGGGUGGGACGCAGCGGUCUCGCAUUGCGUUUGUACUGCUGCAGCCCUCCUUCUUGCCGGGGGCGGCCUCUCGGACUUCACUGUCUGGGGGUCAGAAUCGGCGAUGUUACUUUGAGUAAAUUAGAGUGUUCAAAGCAAGCCUUCGCUCUGAAUAUAAUAGCAUGGGAUAACACGACAGGACUCUGGCCUAUCGUGUUGGUCUGUAGGACCGGAGUAAUGAUUAAGAGGAACAGUCGGGGGCAUUCGUAUUCCAUUGUCAGAGGUGAAAUUCUUAGAUUUAUGGAAGACGAACAUCUGCGAAAGCAUUUGCCAAGGAUGUUUUCAUUGA